ACGUAGGGUGCGAGCGUUAAUCGGAAUUACUGGGCGUAAAGCGUGCGCAGGCGGCUUUGCAAGACAGAUGUGAAAUCCCCGGGCUUAACCUGGGAACUGCAUUUGUGACUGCAAGGCUAGAGUACGGCAGAGGGGGAUGGAAUUCCGCGUGUAGCAGUGAAAUGCGUAGAUAUGCGGAGGAACACCGACGGCGCAGGCAGCGUCCUGGCCGCUUGCUGACACUGAGGCACGAAAGCUGGGGGAGCAAACAGGA
This 253-nucleotide ribosomal RNA is filed under the name uncultured prokaryote. RNAcentral's name for it is "partial 16S ribosomal RNA". It matches the Rfam family "Bacterial small subunit ribosomal RNA", at positions 525 to 777 of the family's 1533-position model. The record is from RNAcentral.